CCCCUAGAUGUUCUGGGCCGCACGCGCGCUACACUGAACAGUUCAACAAGUCUUAACCUUGGCCGAUAGGUCUGGGUAAUCUUUGAACGCUGUUCGUGAUUGGGAUAGACCUUUGCAAUUAUGGGUCUUCAACGAGGAAUUCCUAGUAAACGCAAGUCAUCAGCUUGCAUUGAUUACGUCCCUGCCCUUUGUACACACCGCCCGUCGCACCUACCGAUUGAAUGGUCCGGUGAAAUCUCGGGACGGCGGCUUGGUCGCUUGCGUCCGACUGCUGAAACUUGAUUAAUCCAUAUCAUUUAGAGGAAGGUGAAGUCGUANCA
Molecule: ribosomal RNA, 320 nt
Filed under: uncultured eukaryote
Lineage: Eukaryota
Description: partial 18S ribosomal RNA
Rfam family: Eukaryotic small subunit ribosomal RNA
Source: RNAcentral